GGGCUUUGAUGUUUUUCUUUGUAAGAUAAGGCUUCCGUCUUGCCACCCUACCCCAUAGCCCAGACAUAUGAAGACAGUGGGAGAUUGUUGUCACAUGUAUUACACAGCCAGUACUUGCCAGAAAUUCCUGCAGCUCCUUCAGUGUUGCUGUUGGCCUCUUGGUAGCCUCCCUGACCAGUUUCCUUCUUGUCUUAUCAUCAGCUUUGGACGGACGUCCUGUUCUUGGUAAUGUCACUGUUGUGCCAUAUUUUCACCACUUGAUGAUGACGGUCUUUACUGUGCUCCAUGGUAUAUUUAAUUCCUUGGAAAUUCUUUUGUAGCCCUCACCUGAGUGAUAUCUUUGAAUAAUGAGAUCCCGCUGAUGCUUUGGAAGCUCUCUGUGGACCAUGGCUUGUGCUGGAAGAUGUGGUUACAAAAUGUCAGGAAGAACUGCUAGAACAGCAGAACUUUAUUUUGGGUUGAUCAGAGGCACUUAAAUUGGUGACAGGUGUGUGCUGACUCCAAUUUAACCUGAGUUUGAAAGUUAUUGGUUAAAUCUGAACACAGCCACAUCCCCAGUUAUUAAAGGGUGUGCACACUUAUGCAAACACAUGAUCUCAGUUGUUUAUUUUUACUUCACCUCCCUGAAAGAUUUCUGUUUGUUUUUCAAUUGUGUUGUACAGGUUAUAGGUCACAUUAAAGGUGAAAGGAUUUGUGAAAAUCAUUUAUCUUGAUUUAAUUUUUUUACACGAAAAAAACCUGGCAGUUGAACAGGGGUGUGUAGUUUUUUAUAUCCACUAUAAGAAGUCACAGCUGCCCUGUUGCAGACUGACGGAAACCUGGCUUCCAGUUUGUGUUCUACGGCCUCUUUGACCAUCACCACACAACACUCACAAUCAUACACCAGUGGAGGACACACACUGGGAGCAAGGUGGGUUAAGUGUCUUGCCCAAGGACACAACGGACAGACUCAGGAUAGGGGGGAAUCAAACCGCCAACCUUCUGGUUAUUGGAUGACUGCUCUACCUCCUGAGCCCCUAUUCAUGAUAUUUUUGUCAGAUUCCUGAGUUUUUUGUUAGUAUAAGUCUUUUUAUAAGUUUGACAGCUUUUCUUCACACUGAUCAUCAGCUUCAUGGUACCCCUCCAGUACAGUGAGUGUGAUUGGUGGUGGUAUGUCUGACUUACAUGAUGUGCUUUUGUCCGAACUGACAGGUAGAUGAAUUGUAUAAACUGUAUUAUACACGAACAUGGGUGUGCUGCAUGGCUAAGUGACCCUGCAAAAACAGAGCAAAACUCAACAUGCCAAAGAUUCAGCUCAAAGUUCAUCUUUUGUACACUAAGGCAUGCCUGACACAUGAUGUAUAUGCUGGAUUCUUGGUGUUUCUAAGGAUCAGCAACCAUGAAUCACAAACGUUGCGCAACAUUUUUACUUUCAAGGCAGACAAAACCCCAAACCCUGGAAAUGUUUCUACAUUACAUUUGAAUAUGCUAAGAUUGGUGUUUACAGUAGUGUCUCUAAAGCUUUUGUGAUGUUUUUUUUAGCCCACUCUAAGAUGAAAAACAAAUAGAAAUAAGAAAAUGUAGAUAACUAUCGGUCAGAGUCUAGAUUCAAACACUCCCUUGCUCACCCCGCCCAUCAGUGAAACAACAGUAGCAUUGGAGGACGAGUGUGAGCCUCUACCUGUCAAGUAUUACCAAAGAAAACAUAAAUCAAUACAAAUUAUUUUGCAAACAAUGAAAAUCACCCUCUUCUUCAUCAUCUGGCAAACAGUGCACUUCGCCCAGCCACUCCGAAAAAAGUUGUGACUGGUUUGUCCAUUCUGUGCUACUGUAGAAAUAUGGCGCUCCAGUUUGUCUUGAACCUUUAGCUUUUGUGUGAGGACAAAGAAAACAAAAUACUCAUUAUUUGAUCGGACAUUUGGGAGACACUUGGACUUGGGCUUUGGGACUCCAUCUCUUUAUUGAAAUGUGGACCAGAAUUGCUUCUAAAGACCUUAAAACCACGACCACAGAGCAGCUGUCAGGAGCCACAUGUCAGACACGUCCCAUUUUCAUCUUGUGAUCACUGUUCCUCUUUUAAAGAACAUUCAUUGUUUUGUCACUGUUAAAAAAUGAGAUGACACAUUGAUGCUUGACAUUUUGACCCUGCUGGAGCCUCCAAAGCUGAUUUUAGAGUCUCUUACAGUAUAUUGUACUGCCUGUAAAUGUGUUGCAGUAUCUCUACAAUCUAGCUCCAAAAAGUGAGCAUGCUGUCUGAAAUUAAAUGCUACCUGAACUGAAAAUAAAAACUCAUACUGGUUUAGUGUUGCAGCCUGUUCCUAUGCUUUUCUGAUUUCUACACUUUGAACCCUGACUUAUUGAUCAGCAUGACACAACUUUUUAACUCAAAGUGGACAAAAAAGCAACUUUAAUUUCUAAUACUGAAAUAUUUUGAGAACAAAACUUCCACCCUGUCUUGAGUUUGAUAUGUGAAAGUUGCAGGAAUACUACAGAGAUUCAGAGUUAUGUGUUUGGCCCAUGUCACACAAGUUUUUUUGUGUCUACUUCCCUCUAGUGCUCAAAAGAGAAACUACAUAAGUCUGCUGGUGCUUGUGCUCCUUGAUUGACAAAAUAUUUCUUUUAUAUUGCCUGUAGUUAUGACUCAUUAUGUUGUUUUUCCCCAUAACCUCAAAUGUAAUAAUGAUGUUUGGGGUCUUUAUAUCAUUUCAUUUUCUCAGCUUUGCUUGUGCUUAUACUGUCCAAGAUUGCGGCUCAUGUCAUAAUAACUUUUUUUCUGUUCAUUUGUUUUUCUUUUUUCCCCCCAUGAAAAUAUCCUAAACAAAACGUAAAAAUACUGGCUUACAGGGGGUUUAAGUUCUCAAAAUCAAUCAUUCGUAACUUAAAAUUGAACAGGACCUCAGUUGGUAAAAGUAUCUGAUGGUGUGAAAAAGGGAAAUAGUAUCAUUCGUGUUACAAUUUAAUGGCACUUUUCUACAGAGGAAAUUGGGGUCAAAAUUGGAGGAAUAAGUUUGUAUCAGAAAUUAAAUAACCUGAUGAGGUCUCUUAAUUAGUUUUGUGUUUUUAUGUAGUCAAAGCCAAAGAGUGUCGACUUCCACCAAAUGGCCAAUGCAG
Molecule: long non-coding RNA, 3090 nt
Filed under: Xyrichtys novacula (pearly razorfish)
Lineage: Eukaryota; Metazoa; Chordata; Actinopteri; Labriformes; Labridae
Source: RNAcentral